RNAcentral lists this ribosomal RNA (1052 nucleotides) under Globisporangium splendens. Its description in RNAcentral is "partial large subunit ribosomal RNA". It matches the Rfam family "Eukaryotic large subunit ribosomal RNA", at positions 147 to 1012 of the family's 3401-position model. The record is from RNAcentral. Lineage: Eukaryota; Oomycota; Peronosporomycetes; Pythiales; Pythiaceae.
AGUCUAUAGAGGCGCUGUCAGUGCAGCUAUUUGGGAUAAGUUCCUUGGAAGAGGACAGCAUCGAGGGUGAUACUCCCGUUUGUGCCUGAGUAGCUUGUGCGUACGACACGUUUUCUUUGAGUCGCGUUGUUUGGGACUGCAGCGCAAAGUAGGUGGUAAAUUCCAUCUAAAGCUAAAUAUUGGUGCGAGACCGAUAGCGAACAAGUACCGUGAGGGAAAGAUGAAAAGAACUUUGAAAAGAGAGUUAAAGAGUACCUGAAACUGCUGAAAGGGAAGCGAAUCGUAUCCAGUGUCUAUAAUCUGUGGCAUAUUUCAUUGGCGAGUAGGUGCGUGCAGUAUGUAGGAAGUGGUUUUCUGCUCCUUGUGCUGUUGUGCGUUUGCUUGUUGGUGCCCUGUGUUGCGGUGGGACGUCAGAGUCAGUUCGUAUGCUGUGAGAAAUGGCUACUGAGGAGGUAGGUAGGGAGCUUGCUCUUGGCUGUUAUAUCUUGGUAGUUAGUUGUCGUGGCUGGGACUGAGGUGCCUACAACGUGCUUUAAAGUCUUGGGGACUCUCGUUUGGUUACCUGUUUGGAUAGCUUGCUAUGCUGACGGUGUGAUUGUGCGAUUGAGGUCUUGGGUAACUUUUGCCGUUCGGGACUUUGACGAAAUGGAGCGAUUCGGCCCGUCUUGAAACACGGACCAAGGAGUCUAACAUGUGUGCAAGUGUUAGGGUGUGGAAACCCGAGCGCGAAAUGAAAGUAAAGGAUGGCGUACGCUGUCUGAGGUAGGAAACCUUUCUUAUGGGAGGUGGCACUAUCGACCGAUCAUGAACCCUCGUGGUGAAAGAUUUGAGUUUGAGCACAUAUGUUGGUACCCGAAAGAUGGUGAACUAUGCCUGAGUAGGGUGAAGCCAGGGGAAACUCUGGUGGAAGCUCGUAGCGAUUCUGACGUGCAAAUCGAUCGUCAAACUUGGGUAUAGGGGCGAAAGACUAAUCGAACCAUCUAGUAGCUGGUUCCCUCCGAAAUUUCCCUCAGGAUAGCAGCAACUUAUUUACGAUAGUUUUAUGAGGUAAA